Molecule: microRNA, 21 nt
Filed under: Populus trichocarpa (black cottonwood)
Lineage: Eukaryota; Viridiplantae; Streptophyta; Magnoliopsida; Malpighiales; Salicaceae
Also listed under: 1 other name
Description: ptc-miR6452
Source: miRBase by way of RNAcentral
UGCAAAGGUAACUGAGACAAU